AAUAGAUACCCCGGUAGUCCACGCCGUAAACGAUGGAUGCUAGCUGUUAUGAGUAUCGACCCUUGUAGUAGCGUAGCUAACGCGUUAAGCAUCCCGCCUGUGGAGUACGGUCGCAAGACUAAAACAUAAAGGAAUUGACGGGGACCCGCACAAGCGGUGGAGCGUGUUGUUUAAUUCGAUGGUAAGCGAAGAACCUUACCCAGGCUUGACAUCCUGCUAAUCACUCCGAAAGGAGAGAGUGCCUUCGGGCCGCAGUGACAGGUGUUGCAUGGCCGUCGUCAGCUCGUGUCGUGAGAUGUUUGGUUAAGUCCAUCAACGAGCGCAACCCUUAUAGUUAGUUGUAUUUCUCUAGCUAGACUGCCCUGGCAACAGGGAGGAAGGAGGGGAUGAUGUCAGGUCAGUAUUACCCUUACGCCUGGGGCUACAAACACGCUACAAUGGCCGGUACAAAGGGCAGCCAACCCGCGAGGGGGAGCAAAAUCCCAUCAAAGCCGGUCUCAGUUCGGAUUGCAGGCUGAAACUCG
RNAcentral lists this ribosomal RNA (524 nucleotides) under uncultured bacterium. RNAcentral describes it as "bacterial SSU rRNA". It matches the Rfam family "Bacterial small subunit ribosomal RNA", at positions 777 to 1314 of the family's 1533-position model. The record is from RNAcentral.